CAAAAUAUAACUUAAAGUAAGUAUUUCAUUUACACUGGAGAUUUUCAUGUGCGAUUCAUGAUGUUUUGA
This 69-nucleotide transfer RNA is filed under the name Gryllotalpa orientalis (oriental mole cricket). RNAcentral describes it as "tRNA-Val". Lineage: Eukaryota; Metazoa; Arthropoda; Insecta; Orthoptera; Gryllotalpidae. The record is from RNAcentral.